GCUUACGGUCAUACCUCCCUGAGCAGGGCUGAUUUUGACAGCUAAGCACAGUUGGGCCUAGUUAGUACUUGGAUGUGAGACCAACUGGGAAUAACCAGCGCUGUCAGCU
RNAcentral lists this ribosomal RNA (109 nucleotides) under Lepisosteus oculatus (spotted gar). Lineage: Eukaryota; Metazoa; Chordata; Actinopteri; Semionotiformes; Lepisosteidae. The record is from RNAcentral.